GAUGCACGCAUCUGCGCCUCUGACGCACUGAUGUGUGAUUGGUGCAGCAGAGCAACAGCGACUGCAAAGUGACGCGUUGUGGACACUUCCAUGUAGAGAUGAUUGGAUAAACACCGAGACGAGAGGCCACGCGUGAGUUUGCGGUGGUUAUCGGGGAAGCUUGUUUUACUCAUUAGAAUCUAUUUCUUUGUGGUGCCACCCACCAACAGCGCCCGCAUCCAGCCCCACCCCUGCUUCUCUUCUGCCUGACUCCCUCAGGAUAUUUUUAGAGCCCAUGAUGUGCCCUGUCAAAUCGCGUAACGGAAACAACCCCAGAGAGCCACAGAGGAGAGCUGCUGUGUAAUCUAAAGGGGGAAGCCUGCCGCCGAUGAGAUGAAAAUUGAAAUUAAUUUGGUGUUUUGCGUGUUGAUUGUGCUGUCCGGCACAACGCGGACAAGAGGUCAAAGCAGUGCUCUGCCCAAUGUCUUCACACCAGCUGUCUUCCUGAGUCAUCCUGGAAGCUCAGCAUCUUCUAACCUGACAGAGUAUCGUGGGAAUGAGUCCCCAGAGCAUGCACGUAUUCCUGCAGGCAGGGAUGAAUCCGCGGGUGAAACCACAACCCUCAGCGAGACAGAAGGAACAGUCCGUGCAGAGACUCUGACAGAUGCAGUACUUAAAACCCACUUGUUCACAGCAAUCCCCGCAGUACUUACAUCUCAGCACGCAGACCUCGGUACUCUAACUCCUUCAGCUGCCGCAGAGAGCCUUUCAUCAGCGCCGACAGUUCAGAGCACCACCCCUCUGCACCCUGCAGCUACAGAAGCCAAAACCCCUCUGACCAACCAUUCCCUCUCUACCUUUUCAUCUCAGCCAGCCCCAGCAGUGCACCACACAAGCUCCACAGCACCCACCUUCACCACAUGGCCACACUCUGAAUCUUUGAACACAGCUACCGCAUCUCCAGGUGGAGCCCCUGCUGGGUCAGUGUACAAGGAGGUCCAGUCUGUAAAUAAAUUUGGCGGUGAAGAGAGUCACCGUUCCAGCUCCCCUCUAGACCCUCUGCUGGCUGGUCUGCUGUCAGUGUUUAUUGUCACCACAGCUAUCAUCUUUGUCGUCCUCUUCCUCAAGUUCCGCCAGCGUACUAACCACCCGGAGUUCCAUCGUCUGCAGGACCUACCCAUGGAUGAUUUGAUGGAGGACACGCCACUGUCCAGGUACACCUACUGACAGAAGCUCCUGUUCUGUCAGUCACUUCCAUCACUCAGAGGACCGAAGCAAGUCUAACACCAAAGGAAGACCACUUUGGAUUUUUGGAGACAUUCAGUGUGCUGAGAACUCCCCACCCCGAUGGAAAUUAAGAUGACUGCGCUCCUGACUGACUCCUGCACAGCACUUUAAUAUGACACAAACGGUUACACUGCCCUCUAGGGGUGAUCUGAGGUAAUGUGGAUCAAGGUCGCAUGAAGUCCUCCGUAACUGUAAGAAUAGCCAGUAAGGCAGAAUGAAGGCUCAUGGGAAAGCUGCUCAAAACAAUCACAAUCCCUCGGGUGACCAAAUGUUAGUGAAGUGCAUUUUCAAAUCAAAUUGCCCAAUCUGUGUCAUGUGAAGCUAAGGUCUUGCAGAAUGUUGACAAAAAAAUAAACAGAUUUUACAAUUGAAAAGCCACAUCUUUGGAGAAACAGACACGCCAGGUCUCCAACAGUGGAAACCACUUUAUUUUUCCAAAUUGUAAUUUAGCCUGAAUUACAAAUGCAGAUUAUUUACUGUUGCAGUUUUUAAACAUGCAGUUAUGUUCACAAAGUCAUGGAAAUCUUGAAUUUAGUGAUUGCUUUUCUUUAAAUGUUUAGUCUGCCAGUGUUUACUAAGGAGAUACCCUGCUAAGCCAAAUACUUAGAUAUCUGUAAAUUGUAAAACUCACUUAGUAAAAGUGUUGUUCGCACAUAGUGGAGAUUUGAGAGCAGCAUUGGAAUCAUUUUAAGGGUCCUUCAUCUGGACUGGUUGGAAUGCACUGCAAAUACAGUGGAACGAAGCUCUGAUGUUUUAACUUGGUUACUUUACUGCCUGCAGUGAUGUAUGAUGAAAUGCAAGAAUGACUUUCCUGUUUAAUGAAAAUAAAUAUCAAAUCUAUGUA
Molecule: RNA transcript, 2110 nt
Organism: Neolamprologus brichardi
Lineage: Eukaryota; Metazoa; Chordata; Actinopteri; Cichliformes; Cichlidae
Source: RefSeq, a predicted model, not a curated record